Molecule: ribosomal RNA, 502 nt
Filed under: uncultured Phycisphaerae bacterium
Lineage: Bacteria; Pseudomonadati; Planctomycetota; Phycisphaerae
Description: bacterial SSU rRNA
Rfam family: Bacterial small subunit ribosomal RNA
Source: RNAcentral
AGAGUUUGAUCCUGGCUCAGAACGAACGCUGGCGGCGUGGCUAAGGCAUGCAAGUCGAACGGACCCUUCGGGGUUAGUGGCGAACGGGUGAGGAAUAGAUGGAUAACGUACCCUGGACACGGGGAUAGCGGGGAGCUUCGGCUCAUAGCGAAAGCACCGGUAAUACCCGAUGACCCCUCUGGAUCGCAUGAUUCAGCGGGCAAAUGCUCCGGUGGUCUGGGAGCGGUCCAUCUCCUAUCAGCUUGUUGGUGAGGUAACGGCUCACCAAGGCAUCGACGGGUAGCGGGCGUGAGAGCGUGGCCCGCCACAUCGGGACUGAGACACUGCCCGGACACCUACGGGUGUCUGCGGCAACGAAUAUUCCGCAAUGGACGAAAGUCUGACGGAGCGUCGCCGCGUGUAGGAAGAAGUCCCUCGGGAUGUAAACUACUGUCAGGGGUUAGGAAAACCGACCAGCCCCUGAGGAAGCACCGGCUAACUCCGUGCCAGCAGCCGCGGUAAU